Molecule: ribosomal RNA, 400 nt
Filed under: uncultured bacterium
Lineage: Bacteria
Description: bacterial SSU rRNA
Rfam family: Bacterial small subunit ribosomal RNA
Source: RNAcentral
UCGGGAAUCUUGCACAAUGGGCGAAAGCCUGAUGCAGCAACGCCGCGUGAGUGAAGAAGGCCUUUGGGUUGUAAAGCUCUUUCGGCUGGGAAAAAGGGUCUCAUUGCGAAUAGUCUUGAGAUUUGAUGGUACCAGAAGAAGAAGCACCUGCUAACUACGUGCCAGCAGCAGCGGUAAUACGUAGGGUGCAAGCGUUGUUCGGAAUUAUUGGGCGUAAAGCGCGCGUAGGUUGGUUUGUAAGUCGAUUGUGAAAUCCCUGGGCUUAACCCGGGAAUUGCAGUCGAUACUGCAGAUCUUGAAUGUUCGAGAGGGUGGUGGAAUUCCUGGUGUAGAAGUGAAAUUCGUAGAUAUCAGGAGGAACACCCGAGGCGAAGGCGGCCACCUGGCGAAACAUUGACGC